This 1714-nucleotide long non-coding RNA is filed under the name Homo sapiens (human). RNAcentral's name for it is "HSALNT0054523". The record is from RNAcentral. Lineage: Eukaryota; Metazoa; Chordata; Mammalia; Primates; Hominidae.
CUUGAGGGAAGUAGGGCCCUGUCCUUGACCACUUACCAGGGCCUGUCCCUCAUUCACCCGACCCAACUUUGCUGGGGGGUGUGAGGUGGGGUAAUUUAUUCAGUUCUAACCAGGAAAGGUAAAAUUAUAACAGGAUUAAUAACACAAGUGUCAUGGCCUUCCAAGGGCCCCAAGACGAUCCCAUCCCCCUUCCCUGCUCAGAACCUGCCUGUCCUGCACCCUGGCCUGUCCUCUGGAGGUUAUCUGAUGAGGGCCUAUUCUGAGGCAGGGGGCCCAGGCCCCAGCUUCAGCAUCAAGCCACCCAGGACAUGCAUCUGGCCUUUUGGAAAAUAGCCUGGAGAAUGCAGAGGAGAGGCUGCAGUCAGGCUGGCUGUGGCUGGAAAGAACCUGCUGUGGAUGAAGUUGACCUGGGACCCACGUGACCUGAGUGAAAAGAGCUAUGGGUUUGCAGGGGACACCGGUGCCCUGCUGCAGGUGGUUCUAGAGCUAGGUAUCCUGCAUCGUGACUUGAGCAAGUCAUGAACCCACUCUGAGCCUCAGUUUCCCACUCUGUUUUUGGUGUUUGGUUUGGUUUGGUUUUGAGACAGGGUCUCACCCUGUUGCCCAGGCUGGAGUCCAGUGGCACAAUCUCGGCUCACUGCAGCCUCUACCUCCUGAGCUCAAGCGAUCCUCCCACCUCAGUCUCCCAAGUAGCUGAGACUACAGGUGUGUGCCACCACACCCCACUAAUUUUUUGUACAGAUCUAGUUUCACCAUGUUGCCCAGGCUGGUCUGAACUCCUGGGCUCAAGCAAUUCUCCUCCCUCGGCCUCCCAAAGCACUGGGAUUACAGGCGUGAGCCACUGCACCGGGCCUCCACCUCUACUUUGGGGACAAUGUUAUCACUUGCCUUAUGGAAUCGUUGUAAGGAGGAAAUGUGUAGACUUGGUGAUUUUUGUUUCUCCUCGGAGUCUUCCCCUGGAUCCCAACUCACCCCUCCAGCUCCCACUUCACCAUGAGCCCAUGGAGACAUGAGCCCCAGAAGAGCUCUUUCUCUGGUCUCUAUUGCAGCAAGAAGUACCUGUGGGCACACUGGAGCAUAGGCCUUGAUGUUUGCAGUGCUCCAGGCAAAAGGACAAGUGGAGGCUCACAUACCAGAAUCUAAAUAUUAAACAACCAUAAAUCAAGCUGCUAAUGAAAUGUGUUCUAUCCUCCUACUGAACAAAUAAGCUUUCAUAGGAGUAAAAACAUCUGUAAAUCUACAGUUUUUAUAUAUCUGAAAGUCAGCAGAUAUCCAAAAUGAUGAAACUUAGUAAUUAUCACUCAUGUCCAGGUGUUCAGUGACCUGAGGUUUAAGUGAGAGAAUGAAGACUUGCCUGAUGCCUAAGAUAUUCUGUAUUUAUUCUGUAACAUUGAUUCUCCUCGUCUUUAGUCUAGUAAAAUGAUUGAUUAUGUUGUUACAGUCAAGACUUCUACACUAUUACUGUUCUUUUCAUAGUAAUGAUUAAAAAGAUUAAAAUAAGGCUGGGCAUGGUGGCUCACACAUGUAAUCCCAGAGCUUUGAGAAACCAAAGUGACAGGAUUGCUUGAGGCAGGAGUUCAAGUUUACAGUAAGCUAUGACUAUACUACUGUACUCCAGACUGGGCAACAGAGCAAGACCCUGUCUAUAAAAAAAAUAAUAAUUUUUAAAAAGACUAAAAUAAAAUAUUGGCCAGGUGUGGUGGCUCACACCUGU